UGAGGAAUAUUGGUCAAUGGACGAGAGUCUGAACCAGCCAAGUAGCGUGCAGGAUGACGGCCCUAUGGGUUGUAAACUGCUUUUGUUUGGGAAUAAUCGACAUUACGUGUAAUGUUUUGCAUGUACCAUUCGAAUAAGGACCGGCUAAUUCCGUGCCAGCAGCCGCGGUAAUACGGAAGGUUCGGGCGUUAUCCGGAUUUAUUGGGUUUAAAGGGAGCGUAGGCCGUUUGGUAAGCGUGUUGUGAAAUGUAGGAGCUCAACUUCUAGAUUGCAGCGCGAACUGUCAGACUUGAGUGCGCACAACGUAGGCGGAAUUCAUGGUGUAGCGGGGAAAUGCUUAGAUAUCAUGAAGAACUCCGAUUGCGAAGGCAGCUUACGGGAGCGCAACUGACGCUGAAGCUCGAAGGUGCGGGUAUCGAACAGG
This 424-nucleotide ribosomal RNA is filed under the name Verrucomicrobiota bacterium. RNAcentral describes it as "Verrucomicrobia bacterium partial 16S ribosomal RNA". It matches the Rfam family "Bacterial small subunit ribosomal RNA", at positions 355 to 776 of the family's 1533-position model. The record is from RNAcentral. Lineage: Bacteria; Pseudomonadati; Verrucomicrobiota.